GGUCGUAUAGUGUAGUGGUUAUCACUCGGGAUUUUGAAGACUACUUGAUUUCCCGAAACCCAGGUUCGAACCCUGGUACGACCU
Molecule: non-coding RNA, 84 nt
Organism: Boletus coccyginus
Lineage: Eukaryota; Fungi; Basidiomycota; Agaricomycetes; Boletales; Boletaceae
Source: the annotation of a GenBank genome assembly